This is a small nucleolar RNA of Nannospalax galili (Upper Galilee mountains blind mole rat), 96 nucleotides long. The record is from Ensembl. NCBI's taxonomy places the organism in Eukaryota, Metazoa, Chordata, Mammalia, Rodentia, Spalacidae.
GUGCCUCCAAGAUAUGCGUGAAUGCUGGAGAGACUGCAGGGAGUCCAAAGGGCUGCGCCUCGCAUGGCUCAGCCUUAUUUCGUACCUGCGACAUCU